CAGUCGCCGCGGGAAUACGGAGGGUGCAAGCGUUACUCGGAAUCACUGGGCGUAAAGGACGCGUAGGCGGAUUAUCAAGUCUCUUGUGAAAUCUAACGGCUUAACCGUUAAACUGCUUGGGAAACUGAUAAUCUAGAGUAAGGGAGAGGCAGAUGGAAUUCUUGGUGUAGGGGUAAAAUCCGUAGAUAUCAAGAAGAAUACCUAUUGCGAAGGCGAUCUGCUGGAACUUAACUGACGCUAAUGCGUGAAAGCGUGGGAAGCAAACAGGAUUAGAUACCCGAGUAGUCCCUGUCUCUUAUAA
Molecule: ribosomal RNA, 301 nt
Filed under: uncultured bacterium
Lineage: Bacteria
Description: partial 16S ribosomal RNA
Rfam family: Bacterial small subunit ribosomal RNA
Source: RNAcentral